GUCCCAGUUCGGAUUGUAGUCUGCAACCCGACUACAUGAAGCUGGAAUCGCUAGUAAUCGCGGAUCAGAAUGCCGCGGUGAAUACGUUCCCGGGUCUUGUACACACCGCCCGUCACACCAUGGGAGUCGGAAAUGCCCGAAGACUGUGACCCAACCAUUAAGGAGGGAGCAGCCGAAGGCAGGUCGGAUGACUGGGGUGAAGUCGUAACAAGGUAGC
This 217-nucleotide ribosomal RNA is filed under the name uncultured bacterium. Its description in RNAcentral is "partial 16S ribosomal RNA". It matches the Rfam family "Bacterial small subunit ribosomal RNA", at positions 1285 to 1500 of the family's 1533-position model. The record is from RNAcentral.